This 449-nucleotide ribosomal RNA is filed under the name uncultured bacterium. RNAcentral describes it as "partial 16S ribosomal RNA". It matches the Rfam family "Bacterial small subunit ribosomal RNA", at positions 29 to 523 of the family's 1533-position model. The record is from RNAcentral.
AACGAACGCUGGCGGCAGGCUUAACACAUGCAAGUCGAACGAGAUCUUCGGAUCUAGUGGCAGACGGGUGAGGAACACGUGGGAACAUCCCUUUCAGUUCGGAAUAACGUUGGGAAACUAACGCUAAUACCGGAUACGUCCUUCGGGAGAAAGAUUUAUCGCUGAAAGAUUGGCCCGCGUCUGAUUAGCUAGUUGGUGAGGUAACGGCUCACCAAGGCUACGAUCAGUAGCUGAUCUGAGAGGAUGAUCAGCCACAUUGGGACUGAGACACGGCCCAAACUCCUACGGGAGGCAGCAGUGGGGAAUAUUGAACAAUGGGCGCGAGCCUGAUCCAGCCAUGCCGCGUGAGUGAUGACGGCCUUCGGGUUGUAAAGCUCUUUUGUCCGGGAAGAUAAUGACUGUACCGGAAGAAUAAGCCCCGGCAAACUUCGUGCCAGCCGCCGCCGUAA